UACGGAGGGUGCGAGCGUUAUCCGGAAUCACUGGGUUUAAAGGGUGCGUAGGCGGCCCGCUAAGUCAGGGGUGAAAUCCCGCCGCUCAACGGUGGAACUGCCCAUGAUACUGGCGGGCUCGAAUGGGCGCGAGGCAGGCGGAAUGUGGCAUGUAGCGGUGAAAUGCUUAGAUAUGCCAUAGAACACCGAUUGCGAAGGCAGCCUGCCAGAGCCCGAUUGACGCUGAGGCACGAAAGCGUGGGGAGCGAACAGG
RNAcentral lists this ribosomal RNA (253 nucleotides) under uncultured bacterium. Its description in RNAcentral is "partial 16S ribosomal RNA". It matches the Rfam family "Bacterial small subunit ribosomal RNA", at positions 524 to 776 of the family's 1533-position model. The record is from RNAcentral.